CAGCCGCCACGGGAAUACGGAGGGGGCUAGCGUUGUUCGGAAUUACUGGGCGUAAAGCGCACGUAGGCGGCUUGGUAAGUUAGAGGUGAAAGCCUGGAGCUCAACUCCAGAAUUGCCUUUAAGACUGCCGAGCUAGCAGGUGAGAGAGGUAAGUGGAAUUCCGAGUGUAGAGGUGAAAUUCGUAGAUAUUCGGAAGAACACCAGUGGCGAAGGCGGCUUACUGGCUCAUACUGGACGCUGAGGUGCGAAAGCGUGGGGAGCAAACAGGAUUAGAUACCCCCGUAGUCCCUGUCUCUUAUAC
This 301-nucleotide ribosomal RNA is filed under the name uncultured bacterium. RNAcentral describes it as "partial 16S ribosomal RNA". It matches the Rfam family "Bacterial small subunit ribosomal RNA", at positions 509 to 807 of the family's 1533-position model. The record is from RNAcentral.